Molecule: non-coding RNA, 22 nt
Filed under: Mus musculus (house mouse)
Lineage: Eukaryota; Metazoa; Chordata; Mammalia; Rodentia; Muridae
Source: RNAcentral
UUAUGUUCGCAACCCAGCUGAG